RNAcentral lists this ribosomal RNA (253 nucleotides) under uncultured bacterium. RNAcentral's name for it is "partial 16S ribosomal RNA". It matches the Rfam family "Bacterial small subunit ribosomal RNA", at positions 524 to 776 of the family's 1533-position model. The record is from RNAcentral.
UACAGGGGGUGCAAACGUUGCUCGGAAUCAUUGGGCGUAAAGCGCACGUAGGCGGUUCGUUAUGUCGGAUGUGAAAGCCCUUGGCUUAACCGAGGAAGUGCAUCCGAAACUGGCGAGCUAGAGUACUAAAGAGGAUCGCGGAAUUCCCGGUGUAGAGGUGAAAUUCGUAGAUAUCAAGCGGAACACCGGUGGCGAAGGCGGCCUUCUGGACAGUGACUGACGCUGAGAUGCGAAAGCGUGGGGAGCAAACAGG